RNAcentral lists this ribosomal RNA (253 nucleotides) under uncultured bacterium. RNAcentral's name for it is "partial 16S ribosomal RNA". It matches the Rfam family "Bacterial small subunit ribosomal RNA", at positions 524 to 776 of the family's 1533-position model. The record is from RNAcentral.
UACGUAGGGUGCGAGCGUUGUCCGGAAUUAUUGGGCGUAAAGAGCUUGUAGGCGGUUUGUCGCGUCUGCCGUGAAAAUCCGGGGCUCAACCCCGGACUUGCGGUGGGUACGGGCAGACUAGAGUGUGGUAGGGGAGACUGGAAUUCCUGGUGUAGCGGUGAAAUGCGCAGAUAUCAGGAGGAACACCGGUGGCGAAGGCGGGUCUCUGGACCGAUACUGACACUGAGGAGCGAAAGCGUGGGGAGCGAACAGG